This 253-nucleotide ribosomal RNA is filed under the name uncultured bacterium. RNAcentral's name for it is "partial 16S ribosomal RNA". It matches the Rfam family "Bacterial small subunit ribosomal RNA", at positions 524 to 776 of the family's 1533-position model. The record is from RNAcentral.
UACGUAGGCAGCAAGCGUUGUUCGGAAUUACUAGGCGUAAAGAGUGUGUAGGCGGUGCUCCAAGUCUGGUGUGAAAUCUCCCGGCUUAACUGGGAGGGUGCAUUAGAAACUGGAAUGCUAGAGGAUGGGAGAGGUAAGCGCAAUUCCUGGUGUAGCGGUGAAAUGCGUAGAUAUCAGGAGGAACACCUGUGGUGUAGACAGCUUACUGGACCAUUUCUGACGCUGAGACACGAAAGCGUGGGUAGCAAACAGG